GUCUUUGUAGUAUAACAUAAUACCCUGGUCUUGUAAACCAGGAAUGGAGAGUUCUCUCCCCAAGACA
Molecule: transfer RNA, 67 nt
Filed under: Alouatta discolor (Spix's red-handed howler)
Lineage: Eukaryota; Metazoa; Chordata; Mammalia; Primates; Atelidae
Description: tRNA-Thr
Source: RNAcentral